RNAcentral lists this ribosomal RNA (253 nucleotides) under uncultured bacterium. Its description in RNAcentral is "partial 16S ribosomal RNA". It matches the Rfam family "Bacterial small subunit ribosomal RNA", at positions 524 to 776 of the family's 1533-position model. The record is from RNAcentral.
UACGUAGGGUGCGAGCGUUGUCCGGAAUUACUGGGCGUAAAGAGCUCGUAGGUGGUUUGUCGCGUUGUCCGUGAAAACUCACAACUCAAUUGUGGGCGUGCGGGCGAUACGGGCAGACUGGAGUACUGCAGGGGAGACUGGAAUUCCUGGUGUAGCGGUGGAAUGCGCAGAUAUCAGGAGGAACACCGGUGGCGAAGGCGACUACCUGGCCUGUUCUUGACGCUGAGGCGCGAAAGCUAGGGGAGCAAACGGG